This 508-nucleotide ribosomal RNA is filed under the name uncultured bacterium. Its description in RNAcentral is "partial 16S ribosomal RNA". It matches the Rfam family "Bacterial small subunit ribosomal RNA", at positions 28 to 523 of the family's 1533-position model. The record is from RNAcentral.
GAUGAACGCUAGCUACAGGCUUAACACAUGCAAGUCGAGGGGAAACGACAUCGAAAGCUUGCUUUUGAUGGGCGUCGACCGGCGCACGGGUGAGUAACGCGUAUCCAACCUGCCCACCACUUGGGGAUAACCUUGCGAAAGUAAGACUAAUACCCAAUGACGUCUCUAGAAGACAUCUGAAAGAGAUUAAAGAUUUAUCGGUGAUGGAUGGGGAUGCGUCUGAUUAGCUUGUUGGCGGGGUAACGGCCCACCAAGGCGACGAUCAGUAGGGGUUCUGAGAGGAAGGUCCCCCACAUUGGAACUGAGACACGGUCCAAACUCCUACGGGAGGCAGCAGUGAGGAAUAUUGGUCAAUGGACGAGAGUCUGAACCAGCCAAGUAGCGUGCAGGAUGACGGCCCUAUGGGUUGUAAACUGCUUUUAUAAGGGAAUAAAGUGAGUCUCGUGAGACUUUUUGCAUGUACCUUAUGAAUAAGGACCGGCUAAUUCCGUGCCAGCCGCCGCCGUAA